ACACGCAUGACACACUGCAUAUCAAUAAGCGGAGGAAAAGAAACUAACAAGGAUUCCCUUAGUAACGGCGAGUGAAGCGGGAAGAGCUCAAAUUUGAAAUCUUCAAGGUUCUACCUUGACGAAUUGUAGUUUAUAGAAGUGUUUUCUGUUAGUAGAGUGGCAAAAGUUCUUUGGAAUAGGACAUCAUAGAGGGUGAGAAUCCCGUAUUUGAUCACUUUCUACUAACGUUGUGAUACACUUUCAAAGAGUCGGAUUGUUUGGGAAUGCAGUCCAAAAUGGGUGGUAAAUUUCAUCUAAAGCUAAAUAUUGGCGAGAGACCGAUAGCGAACAAGUACCGUGAGGGAAAGAUGAAAAGAACUUUGAAAAGAGAGUUAAACAGUACGUGAAAUUGUCAAAAGGGAAGCGUUUGACACCAGUGUUGUUUUUCCGAAAAUCAAUUACGAAUGUUUUGUUUUUGAGAAGUUAUGACUUCAUCGGCUUGCUUCUCUCUUUACGAAACUUUCUUAAUGCACUUUUCGGUUAACAAGUCAACAUCAAUUUCUUUUGUUGUAAAAGGGUAUGAGGAAGGUGGCUUUCUUUUCGGAGAAAGUGUUUAUAGCCUUGUGCCUCUGCAAUCGGAGAGAUUGAGGUCUGCAGCGUAGAUCCUUCGGGGUUAGAUGCAUUUGUGCUAAGUUAUAGCCUUUCAUAGACAACUUGUUGACUAUGAUCAGUCAUGUAGCUUACUCGCUUAUGCUAUUUUACCUACGCUUAGGAUGUUGACGCAUGAGAUAUACGC
RNAcentral lists this ribosomal RNA (775 nucleotides) under uncultured Neocallimastigales. RNAcentral's name for it is "partial large subunit ribosomal RNA". It matches the Rfam family "Eukaryotic large subunit ribosomal RNA", at positions 23 to 647 of the family's 3401-position model. The record is from RNAcentral. Lineage: Eukaryota; Fungi; Neocallimastigomycota; Neocallimastigomycetes; Neocallimastigales.